Molecule: ribosomal RNA, 253 nt
Filed under: uncultured bacterium
Lineage: Bacteria
Description: partial 16S ribosomal RNA
Rfam family: Bacterial small subunit ribosomal RNA
Source: RNAcentral
UACGGAGGGUGCAAACGUUGCUCGGAAUUAUUGGGCGUAAAGCGCACGUAGGCGGCCAAUUAAGUCGGGUGUGAAAGCCCAGGGCUCAACCCUGGAAGUGCACUCGAAACUGAUUGGCUUGAAUAUGGAAGAGGGUUGCGGAAUUCCCGGUGUAGAGGUGAAAUUCGUAGAUAUCGGGAGGAACACCAGUGGCGAAGGCGGCUAUCUGGACGGUUUCUGACACUAAGACUCGAAAGCGUGGGGAGCAAACAGG